Non-coding RNA from Oryza nivara, 205 nucleotides. The record is from Rfam. Lineage: Eukaryota; Viridiplantae; Streptophyta; Magnoliopsida; Poales; Poaceae.
AAAAAGACAAACGGUGGGUUUCCGUGCCAACGUUUGACUGUCCGUCUUAUAUGAAAUUUUUUUAUAAUUAGUAUUUUCAUUGUUGUUAGAUGAUAAAACAUGAUUAAUACUUUAUGCGUGAUUUAUCUUUUUAAUUUUUUUCAUAAUUUUUUUAAAUAAGACGGACGGUCAAACGUUGGACACGGUAACCAGGGUUUAUCUUUUU